This 549-nucleotide ribosomal RNA is filed under the name Triticum aestivum (bread wheat). RNAcentral's name for it is "partial small subunit ribosomal RNA". Lineage: Eukaryota; Viridiplantae; Streptophyta; Magnoliopsida; Poales; Poaceae. The record is from RNAcentral.
CCCCUCUCCCUCGCAUCUCUCUCUCUCUCUCUAUCUAUUUGUUUCUUCUCCACCCAAGCACCUCUAGUUGCCGCCGCCGUCGUCCACCGCGGCGACCGUCACCCCCGUCCCUCUCCAACGCAUAUCGGAGCUUCGCUUCCACCGGCUACUUCCUCUACGCCGCAAAACGCGAGCCGGGAGCCGCCUCUUUGUCGGGAUCGAGUGCUUCCCCGCGUUCGGACACUAGUGCCCUUCCUCGGAUCUCCUCCCUCGGCACCUCCCCGACCUCCCGAGCUCAUCAAUGAGAACCUCUAUAGUGGAGCCCAGGAACCAGAUGCCACCAUCGACGAAGACUACUACUACCAUUAGGGUGCCCUACUACAUGGAGGCCGCCGACGACCAGGAGUAGUUAGGAGGCUACCAGGCAGGAGGCCUUGCCUUUUCGAUCUAUGUUGCUUUUGUGAUAGCCUUCUUGAGGAAAACUUGUCUAACUUAUGUCUGUACUCAGAUAUCUUUGCUUCCGCUGACUCGUUUGUAUUCGGGCUUAUGUAUUCGAGGCCUCGAGGCCCC